AGCCGGGGCGUUAGCGGGGCCCUGUACCUGAAGUCCGCUACAGCAGGGGUGAUAUCGACCGGAGGGCUGAAGUCAGUUGAGCUGCCCGUCUGAGGAUGCGUUGAAGUUUGGGUCUUAUGCAAUGGAGCGCUGUGAACCGUGUCAGGUCGGGAACGAAGCAGCACUAAGCGGUAUGCUUCAUGUGACAUGAGGGUGCCUGGGCUGAGCAAAGGCAGGCGGUAACGUCUUCGGGAUGGACGUUCGAAGGAAGAUGCACG
This 257-nucleotide signal recognition particle RNA is filed under the name bovine gut metagenome. RNAcentral describes it as "Bacterial large signal recognition particle RNA". It matches the Rfam family "Bacterial large signal recognition particle RNA". From Rfam's summary of the family: The signal recognition particle (SRP) is a universally conserved ribonucleoprotein involved in the co-translational targeting of proteins to membranes. Archaeal SRP consists of a 7S RNA and homologues of the eukaryotic SRP19 and SRP54 proteins. The record is from RNAcentral.